This 88-nucleotide transfer RNA is filed under the name Magnetococcales bacterium. RNAcentral describes it as "tRNA-Ser". It matches the Rfam family "tRNA". Rfam says of the family: Transfer RNA (tRNA) molecules are approximately 80 nucleotides in length. Their secondary structure includes four short double-helical elements and three loops (D, anti-codon, and T loops). The record is from RNAcentral. Lineage: Bacteria; Pseudomonadati; Pseudomonadota; Magnetococcia; Magnetococcales.
GGAUGGGUGGCUGAGCGGUUCAAAGCAACGGUCUUGAAAACCGUCGAGUCGAAAGGCUCCGUGGGUUCGAAUCCCACCCCAUCCGCCA